Molecule: microRNA precursor, 60 nt
Filed under: Callorhinchus milii (elephant shark)
Lineage: Eukaryota; Metazoa; Chordata; Chondrichthyes; Chimaeriformes; Callorhinchidae
Description: Cmi-Mir-29-P2b_pre stem-loop
Rfam family: mir-29 microRNA precursor family
About the family: This family represents the microRNA (miRNA) precursors mir-29. Animal miRNAs are transcribed as ~70nt precursors and subsequently processed by the Dicer enzyme to give a ~22nt product.
Source: RNAcentral
ACUGAUUUCUCUUGGUGUUCAGAGGCUACACACUUAUCUAGCACCAUUUGAAAUCGGUUA